This 876-nucleotide ribosomal RNA is filed under the name Triticum aestivum (bread wheat). RNAcentral's name for it is "partial small subunit ribosomal RNA". The record is from RNAcentral. Lineage: Eukaryota; Viridiplantae; Streptophyta; Magnoliopsida; Poales; Poaceae.
AUGCUUGAUCUCAAUGAGUUUCCUCCAGAUCUCAAUGAGCUUCCUCAUGAUAUGGAUCAGCAGCAACCCAGCAUACAACAAGGAAACUGCACAGAAAAUGGUCGAUCUGUUUACUACACGCAGGCAAGUUGUGAUGGUAACCCUACGGGCCAUGACAAUGUGGCAGGCCAGUCAUCAGCCCGUGGUGCCCCUGUAGUGGUGUCUUUGCAGUCAGAGAGCCAUACUCUUGAUGACAUAGGAACCGAGGCAAAUGUUCCUGGUCCAACCAGGACUGAGCUAGAAGCUGGGGCUUUUGACAGAGUUGUGCAAGUAGAAGAAGGAGAGGAUGAGGCUGGUUCUCAACCUAUGGAACCCUAUGUUGGCAUGAGGUUUGACAGCCUUCAAAUUGCUAAGGAUCACUACAAUAGUUACGCACUACGGAUGGGUUUCUCUAUCAAGAUGAACACCUCUAGACGGACACCCCGCACCAAUGAAUUGAUAAAACAACAGUUUUGCUGCAACAAGUUCAAGAAGCCCAAAGCUGAUGAUGGAGGAGCUGAGGCUCCUCCUUACCUGGACCCUAUUCCAGAUCCAACAUCUGUUAACAGUGAUGAGGAGAUGGAAGAAGAACCUCCAAUAUUUGCUGAAGAGGAUGCUGGUACUAGUAAGAAGAAGAAGAAGCGCAAACAUGAGACAAUAAAGCAGACUGAAUGCAAGGCGAAAAUGUUGGUGAAGCUGAUAGAUGGGCGAUGGGAGGUGACGCACUUUGUUCGUGACCACAAUCAUCCGCUCGUGAACAAACCUUCAUUGUCCAAAUACUUGAGAUCCCACCAAGGCAUCUCACCUGAUGAAAAGGAGUUUCUGCGCAUCUUGUAUAACUGCAACUUGACUACAUGA